AAAAGCUUUCAACCACGGAUCUCUUGGUUCUGGCAUCGAUGAAGAACGCAGCGAAAUGCGAUAAGUAAUGUGAAUUGCAGAAUUCAGUGAAUCAUCGAAUCUUUGAACGCACAUUGCGCCCCUCGGUAUUCCGGGGGGCAUGCCUGUUCGAGCGUCAUU
This 159-nucleotide ribosomal RNA is filed under the name Glaucomaria rupicola. Its description in RNAcentral is "5.8S ribosomal RNA". It matches the Rfam family "5.8S ribosomal RNA". Rfam says of the family: 5.8S ribosomal RNA (5.8S rRNA) is a component of the large subunit of the eukaryotic ribosome. It is transcribed by RNA polymerase I as part of the 45S precursor that also contains 18S and 28S rRNA. The record is from RNAcentral. Lineage: Eukaryota; Fungi; Ascomycota; Lecanoromycetes; Lecanorales; Lecanoraceae.